AACUAGAAGAAGCAUCGGGUAGGUUGCUUCUCCUACAAGCAAGGAUAACAAUAAAUAAAUUUUGAAUUAGUGGAUUUGCUUGGACCUCAAAUGGGUACGGUAGAGGAUUACAAAUGAUUAAGAUUCUGAUAAAUUUACUAUUCCAACUUGCUGCUGCAAGUUUCCUGAUAAUCUUGUUCUUCUAUUGAAGUAGUUUGCAGGGCCCUUUAGUCACAAAAAGUUCUGGGAAAUGGACAGUUACUCAGGUUGUGGAUUACUUUCAUCUGCUUCCUUAUGCUGGAAUAAUGUCAGAUUGGCUUUCUAGGUGCGUAGUUUUUCUUAUCAUCCCUAGUUUUUGGGAUAUAAAACUUAAAAUUCAUCUGCAUUGAGUGGGUUCUAAUAAAAAAUUUUCAGAUCUUAUUUAAUUGGUUUUCUAUUCUCAUUAAACAUGAAUUACGCUCAAGGAGCUUGAAGCUCUAUCAGGUAGUCUGUCUUCUUUGUGGCUCUGCUUUUAAAAUAAAUCAUAUGAGACCU
Molecule: long non-coding RNA, 513 nt
Filed under: Citrus sinensis (sweet orange)
Lineage: Eukaryota; Viridiplantae; Streptophyta; Magnoliopsida; Sapindales; Rutaceae
Description: long non-coding RNA (CSIN_LNC005488)
Source: RNAcentral